GAUGAAGAACGUAGCGAAAUGCGAUACGUAAUGUGAAUUGCAGAAUUCAGUGAAUCAUCGAAUCUUUGAACGCAUAUUGCGCUCUUUGGUAUUCCGAAGAGCAUGCUUGUUUGAGUAUCAGUAAACACCUCAACCUCUUCUUGAUUUUUCAAAAGGAGGGUGGACUUGAGCUAUCCCAACAACCUUUACCGGUCGGCUGGCGGCUUGAAAUGCAGGUGCAGCUGGACUUUCUUCUGAGCUAUAAGCAUAUUUAUUUAAUCCCUUAACACGGAUUAUUACUUUUUUGCUGCAGCUAACAUAAAGGUUGAAUUUCCAUUGAGCUGACUGAUGCAGGAAUUUGGCAAGGAAUUUUUUUAAUGACUUGUUAAACUCGAUCUCAAAUCAAGUAAGACUACCCGCUGAACUUAAGCAUAUCAAUAAGCGGAGGA
This 428-nucleotide unclassified non-coding RNA is filed under the name soil metagenome. RNAcentral's name for it is "partial contains 5.8S ribosomal RNA, internal transcribed spacer 2, and large subunit ribosomal RNA". The stretch from base 1 to 120 matches the Rfam family "5.8S ribosomal RNA", at positions 35 to 154 of the family's 154-position model. The record is from RNAcentral.